Molecule: long non-coding RNA, 243 nt
Filed under: Capra hircus (goat)
Lineage: Eukaryota; Metazoa; Chordata; Mammalia; Artiodactyla; Bovidae
Description: lncRNA (ENSCHIG00000007423.1)
Source: RNAcentral
UAUGCCUUCAGUAUUUUGAAUGCAUGUCCUAAAAAGGCAGAGACUACCUCCCUAGGCAUUUUAUUACUCAUAUGGCCAUGGAAAAGACUUUGGGAGAAACUUAAGUCUGUAAGAUUCAUCCAACAGAAUAGACUGGACUAAUAUUCAGAGAGGGAAUUUCUCUGUGACUAAGAUGCAGCCUUUAAGAAGAAUAUGAGUGAUUCUCUGACCGUCCCCUCUGCCCACUCCUGCCAUGACUCUGGA